Long non-coding RNA from Neogale vison (American mink), 340 nucleotides. NCBI's taxonomy places the organism in Eukaryota, Metazoa, Chordata, Mammalia, Carnivora, Mustelidae. The record is from Ensembl.
CCGGCCUGCCUCGCGCCCUGCUGACCAAUCCCUGGCUCAGCUCCAUGCGCGUCACAAUAGCGCCCUCGCAGCCCCGCCCCCGGACGCGGGCCGCGGAGGCACCGCCCACCCGCGCUCAUUGCGUCCUUCCGGCUCCGUGGUGGAAGUCUUCCUGCGCCGCGUCUUCCUGGAGAAGAAGGUGCUCAGAGGGACGAUCGAGGUGCCGGAUGUGAAGAGCGGGAGCGUGGAGACUCGGAUCCCGAGGACAGUUCGUUACCUACAAGGAGUGUCUCCGACUGUGGGCAUCCCCUCCCCGGGUGGUUCUUUAAGCCACAAAAAGCUGCACCCAAGCUUGUUUGAC